Molecule: transfer RNA, 72 nt
Filed under: Heterocephalus glaber (naked mole-rat)
Lineage: Eukaryota; Metazoa; Chordata; Mammalia; Rodentia; Bathyergidae
Rfam family: tRNA
About the family: Transfer RNA (tRNA) molecules are approximately 80 nucleotides in length. Their secondary structure includes four short double-helical elements and three loops (D, anti-codon, and T loops).
Source: Rfam by way of RNAcentral
GGGGAUGUGGCUCAGUGAUAGAGCACUUGUCUGUCACACGCAAGGCCCUGGGUUCAAUCCCUAGCACCUCAA